RNAcentral lists this transfer RNA (69 nucleotides) under Ictidomys tridecemlineatus (thirteen-lined ground squirrel). Its description in RNAcentral is "Spermophilus tridecemlineatus (thirteen-lined ground squirrel) tRNA". It matches the Rfam family "tRNA". Rfam says of the family: Transfer RNA (tRNA) molecules are approximately 80 nucleotides in length. The record is from Rfam by way of RNAcentral. Lineage: Eukaryota; Metazoa; Chordata; Mammalia; Rodentia; Sciuridae.
GGGGUUGUAGCUCAGUGGUAGAGUGCUCACUUAGCACAUGUGAGGCACUGGGUUCAAUCCUCAGCACCA